AUAGGAACUGGAGCAGCAAACCAUGUAGACAGAAGAAAAGCUAAAGGACUACAUGUUGAAGUAGUAAUAGUUACUGCAGUACUGCACACACUGCAUCUGAUUUGACUUGUUGUAUGGUAAAUUGCCCGUCCACGCAGGAAGCAUAGCUGAUGAACUCAUGGAAGAAAUAAAGAAGGAAGUUGAAGAAUAAUGCUGCUCCAAAGUAUUCAUAUAUGGUUCCAACUUUGUAAAAAUGGGGCAUGCUUGUUUUAUGUUAUACAAGAGAAACCUGAGAAUAUGGUAUUAUUUGUUUGUAUAUUUUGUUCUGACAUAUAUGUGACUGGACGACCGGUGCAGCACUCCUCAAUCUGCUCUCAAGAUUAUAGAAACUGAACAACGAGAAAUGAAGAUAUAACAAUUGUUUUUGAAACAUUUGUUGAAUCUACACUAUUGUACAACCAACAUUUGUCCUUGACUACCCAGUUGAGAUAUCACCAUUGGCAAAACCACAUCGGAGCAUCAUAGUACAGCUGUCACGUCCCUGAGGAUGUAGCUGUGGGAGCUCGCUGGCCACCGGUUUCCUGCCCGUGGUGGAUGGUGGCAAGGUAGAUAGCAGGGAGAUGAGAUAACAGAGAAAGGAGGUGAAAAUGGGAUUGGCUGUAAUUGCUUGUUUAUUGCUGAACCAGACCUUCCUGAUUGAUCCCAAAUACCCCUCCUUUUGCCUAAUUAGCCCCUGUUACGAGCGCCUAUAAAUGUUCCCGACCGUAACAAUAGCUCAAGGUUACACCUGGAAACUGGGGAGAAAAGGAAGAUGUAAUUCAGUCUGAGAUUUAUAAUAUGUUAUUUAGGUGAUCAUUAAGAUAGAUGGAAAUCACAACUUGCUUGUCAGAUCAUUUCAAA
Molecule: long non-coding RNA, 879 nt
Organism: Zea mays
Lineage: Eukaryota; Viridiplantae; Streptophyta; Magnoliopsida; Poales; Poaceae
Exons: 5
Source: RefSeq, a predicted model, not a curated record